GGGGAAUUUUGCGCAAUGGACGAAAGUCUGACGCAGCAACGCCGCGUGGGUGAUGAAGGUCUUCGGAUUGUAAAACCCUGUCGUCGGGGACGAAGGUAGGGGGGUUAAUACCCCUUUUGCUUGACGGUACCCGGAGAGGAAGCCCCGGCUAACUCUGUGCCAGCAGCCGCGGUAAUACAGAGGGGGCAAGCGUUAUUCGGAAUUAUUGGGCGUAAAGGGCGCGUAGGCGGUGAUUCAAGUUGGAUGUGUAAUCCCCGAGCUCAACUUGGGAACUGCAUCCAAGACUGGAUCGCUAGAGUACUGGAGAGGGUGGUGGAAUUCCUCGUGUAGCGGUGAAAUGCGUAGAGAUGAGGAGGAACACCAGUGGCGAAGGCGGCCACCUGGACAGUAACUGACGCUGAGGCGCGAAAGUGUGGGGAGCAAAC
RNAcentral lists this ribosomal RNA (425 nucleotides) under uncultured bacterium. Its description in RNAcentral is "bacterial SSU rRNA". It matches the Rfam family "Bacterial small subunit ribosomal RNA", at positions 356 to 773 of the family's 1533-position model. The record is from RNAcentral.